This 821-nucleotide unclassified non-coding RNA is filed under the name Hevea brasiliensis (rubber tree). Lineage: Eukaryota; Viridiplantae; Streptophyta; Magnoliopsida; Malpighiales; Euphorbiaceae. The record is from RNAcentral.
UUUAAUAUGGCUGAUGGAAAAAAAGAAUUUAUUGAAACCAAGAUAAGCCCUAUGAGUGAAAACCUUUCAUUACAAAUUAGCCCUUUAAAGUUUGAUGGUACUAAUCAUCUUGCAUGAUCGAGAUCUUGUUCACUGUUUAUUCAACCUAGAGGGCUACCGGGAUAUAUCAUUGGAGACAAAACCAAACAAGAAACUAGUAGUUCUACUCAUAGCCAGUGGGAGUGGGAGUCAGAGAAUACCCUUAUAAUGUCCUGACUAAUUAAUUCAAUACAACUACAAAUAGCCCAUAGAUAUUUGCUUUUGGAUAAUGUUGCUACUAUCUGAAAUCUCAACGGGCAAUGAUGCUCAGUACAGUCUCUAAGGCGUUUGCUGUCACAACUGGAAUCUCAAACUGUCACAGUUGUUUAUUCUAAUAUUGUUAAAUCAGAUAAUGUUUUCCUUACCAAUCUUGAAAAUCUCUUUGGGUUUAAGAUUUUGAAGCAAACAAGCACAUGACAGGCUCUUUAAAUAAGUUCACAACCUAUUCCCCAUGUUCAACAAAAGAAAAAGUCAGCAUAGCGAAUGGAUCCUUAGCCAAUAUCUCUGAAACAGAUUUUGUUGAAUGUACUCGCACUAUAAAUCUUACUUUCUGCUGGAAUCUCAAUCCCUACAUUAAAGGGAUUAUUAUUUCUUUCUUCUUAUGUAUAUAAUGUUUCCUAUUUAUAUUAGAUUCCAUUAAAUUAGGUUUCUUUGUAAAUGUAGGAAUCUUCUAUAUGAAUAAGCAUACGUACAAUGUUAUUAAAACAUAUGAAAAAUAUAGAAAUUUCUCUCAAAUACAUUAG